Molecule: ribosomal RNA, 253 nt
Filed under: uncultured bacterium
Lineage: Bacteria
Description: partial 16S ribosomal RNA
Rfam family: Bacterial small subunit ribosomal RNA
Source: RNAcentral
UACGGAGGGUGCGAGCGUUGUCCGGAAUCACUGGGCGUAAAGGGCGCGUAGGCGGCCUGAUAAGUAGGGGGUGAAAUCCUGCGGCUUAACCGCAGGGCUGCCUUCUAAACUGUCAGGCUGGAGCACAGUAGAGGCAGGUGGAAUUCCCGGUGUAGCGGUGGAAUGCGUAGAGAUCGGGAAGAACAUCAGUGGCGAAGGCAGCUCGCUGGGACGUUACUGACGCUGAGACGCGAAAGCCAGGGGAGCGAACGGG